AUUGAACGCUGGCGGCAUGCCUUACACAUGCGAGUCGAACGGCAGCACGGGUGCUUGCACCUGGUGGCGAGUGGCGAACGGGUGAGUAAUACAUCGGAACAUGUCCUGUAGUGGGGGAUAGCCCGGCGAAAGCCGGAUUAAUACCGCAUACGAUCUACGGAUGAAAGCGGGUGACCUUCGGGCCUCGCGCUAUAGGGUUGGCCGAUGGCUGAUUAGCUAGUUGGUGGGGUAAAGGCCUACCAAGGCGACGAUCAGUAGCUGGUCUGAGAGGACGACCAGCCACACUGGGACUGAGACACGGCCCAGACUCCUACGGGAGGCAGCAGUGGGGAAUUUUGGACAAUGGGCGAAAGCCUGAUCCAGCAAUGCCGCGUGUGUGAAGAAGGCCUUCGGGUUGUAAAGCACUUUUGUCCGGAAAGAAAUCCUUGGCCCUAAUACGGUCGGGGGAUGACGGUACCGGAAGAAUAAGCACCGGCUAACUACGUG
This 486-nucleotide ribosomal RNA is filed under the name uncultured bacterium. RNAcentral describes it as "partial 16S ribosomal RNA". It matches the Rfam family "Bacterial small subunit ribosomal RNA", at positions 30 to 507 of the family's 1533-position model. The record is from RNAcentral.